Molecule: ribosomal RNA, 474 nt
Filed under: uncultured bacterium
Lineage: Bacteria
Description: partial 16S ribosomal RNA
Rfam family: Bacterial small subunit ribosomal RNA
Source: RNAcentral
GACGAACGCUGGCGGCGUGCUUAACACAUGCAAGUCGAACGGGAGUAUUGAAGAAGCUUGCUUUAGAGAUACUUUAGUGGCGGACGGGUGAGUAACGCGUGAGGAGCUGUCCAAUGCAGGGGGACAACAGUUGGAAACGACUGCUAAUACCCCAUAAGCCGAGAGGUAAAAGGAUUUAUCCGGCAAUGGAGGUACUCGCGUCCUAUCAGCUAGUAGGUGAGGUAACGGCUCACCUAGGCGAAGACGGGUAGCCGGCCUGAGAGGGCGAACGGCCACACUGGAACUGAGAUACGGUCCAGACUCCUACGGGGGGCAGCAGUAGGGAAUCUUCGGCAAUGGACGAAAGUCUGACCGAGCAACGCCGCGUGAGUGAAGAAGGUUUUCGGAUCGUAAAACUCUGUUGUUAGAGAAGAACAAGGAUGAGAGUAAAAUGUUCAUCCCUUGACGGUAUCCAACCAGAAAGCCACGGCUAAC